GAGACACUAACAUCCGAACUCUAAAUGAUAUGAUCCUGUGCUUUGUCAGGUGAACAGCAUAAUGAUUGCUUCUCUCUUCCAAGUAGAUUAGAAGCAUUCAAGAGCUAUGGGACUGACUGAAGGUGACCUCAGCCAUUUAUCGUAAUGUACUGUGCAAACACCACUUUUCUUUGAACAUGAAAAAGUUUUGAAAGUACUGUUUUGCACCUCAGCUUGAAUGUAAUCCUAGCUACUUGGGAGGAUCACAGUCAAGGGCAGCCCAAAGAAAAAUGUUUGCAAGACCUCUUCUCUAAUCCAUAGCUGAGCACAGUGGCACACACUCUUAUCUCAAGCUAUAUGUGAGCCAGAGAUUGGGAAGAUCAUGGUUUCAGGCCAGCUUGGGUAGAAGAGUCUGCAAGAGUACAUCUCCAGAGGGGACACAGUGGUAUGUACCUGUAAUACAAGCAAAUACAGGAAGCCUAAAGUAAGCAGAUCGUAGGCCAGUUGCAUGCCCAGGCAGGAAGCAAAACCCUGUUUU
Molecule: long non-coding RNA, 517 nt
Organism: Perognathus longimembris pacificus (Pacific pocket mouse)
Lineage: Eukaryota; Metazoa; Chordata; Mammalia; Rodentia; Heteromyidae
Exons: 2
Source: RefSeq, a predicted model, not a curated record